GACGAACGCUGGCGGCGUGCCUAAUACAUGCAAGUCGAACGAGAGCGACCGGUGCUUGCACUGGUCAAUCUAGUGGCGAACGGGUGAGUAACACGUGGGUAACCUGCCCAUCAGAGGGGGAUAACAUUCGGAAACGGAUGCUAAAACCGCAUAGGUUCUACAGUCGCAUGACUGAAGAAGGAAAAGAGGCUUCGGCUUCUGCUGAUGGAUGGACCCGCGGUGCAUUAGCUAGUUGGUGAGGUAACGGCUCACCAAGGCCGUGAUGCAUAGCCGACCUGAGAGGGUGAUCGGCCACAUUGGGACUGAGACACGGCCCAAACUCCUACGGGAGGCAGCAGUAGGGAAUCUUCCGCAAUGGACGCAAGUCUGACGGAGCAACGCCGCGUGAGUGAAGAAGGAUUUCGGUUCGUAAAACUCUGUUGUUAGAGAAGAACAGCGCAUAGAGUAACUGUUAUGCGUGUGACG
RNAcentral lists this ribosomal RNA (465 nucleotides) under Granulicatella elegans. Its description in RNAcentral is "bacterial SSU rRNA". It matches the Rfam family "Bacterial small subunit ribosomal RNA", at positions 28 to 474 of the family's 1533-position model. Lineage: Bacteria; Bacillati; Bacillota; Bacilli; Lactobacillales; Carnobacteriaceae. The record is from RNAcentral.